GACGAACGCUGGCGGCGUGCUUAACACAUGCAAGUCACGGGGGUGCAGCAAUGCACAACCGGCGAACGGGUGCGUAACACGUGAGCAACCUACCGAUUUGUGGGGGAUAGCCGGCCCAACGGCCGGGUAAUACCGCAUACGCUCGUCGGGCCUCCUGGUCUGACGAGGAAACCUCCGGGGCAAAUCGAGGGGCUCGCGGCCUAUCAGCUAGUUGGCGAGGUCAUGGCUCACCAAGGCGACGACGGGUAGCUGGUCUGAGAGGAUGGCCAGCCACAUUGGGACUGAGAAACGGCCCAGACUCCUACGGGAGGCAGCAGUGGGGAAUCUUGCGCAAUGGGCGAAAGCCUGACGCAGCGACGCCGCGUGGGGAUG
RNAcentral lists this ribosomal RNA (372 nucleotides) under uncultured bacterium. Its description in RNAcentral is "bacterial SSU rRNA". It matches the Rfam family "Bacterial small subunit ribosomal RNA", at positions 28 to 410 of the family's 1533-position model. The record is from RNAcentral.